Megalopta genalis is the source of this 1764-nucleotide long non-coding RNA. RefSeq lists it as uncharacterized. NCBI's taxonomy places the organism in Eukaryota, Metazoa, Arthropoda, Insecta, Hymenoptera, Halictidae. The record is from RefSeq and is a predicted model, not a curated record.
UUUAAACAACCACGAUAUUGACAAAUUAACUUGAAAUUUUAUGUACCUCUUGUGUCGCUAAAGUACAGAAUAGAAUUCAUUAAAAAUCCUUCUCUUUUGCAUUUUUCUAAAUUGAAAAACUUUAACAUUUCUAUUUCAAAGUGCUGCAACUUUCCAACUUAUCGAUAUUUUUUGUUAUCGAUUUUAGAUUCUGCUGUAAGCAAAUUCUUGGUUACUUCUUGGAUUCUUAUUUCAAAUUAACAAAGAUGGCCUGAAUCGCGGACCACGUGAGGCUACGAUUCUUUUUUAUAAGCGCGUUACUUGCAAAAGCAUGUGGCGCCCCGGCAGUUUCUUUCAGUGAACAAAAGCUAAAUGUUAUCGAACUAUAGUCCCAUUCGGAGGGGGCAGAGAUUCGAUUGUUAAUCUGUUAUACGAACGAAUUAAUCUUCGACCUCGGAUAUACUAACUCAUAAUUGAACCACGAUGACAGGACUAUUAUCAAGCGUAUUUCCACUGCCAUACGAACGCGUAUUCUUAUGCAUUACAGAAAUGGUGAAAAAAAACGGCGAAAUGGUGACUGUAUACGUUUUCCCGCGUAAUCAGUCGCAAACGUGACUCAAAGAUCACAGAAUCCUUAAACACGAUGGUCGAGAGACAAUCUCGAGUGAACCUCGGCUAUCCGAACCGUCUCGUCCAUCGACGUCCUCGGAUAAACAAAGAUCCGCUGUACUUCGAAGUAAUCAUUACAAUUGGAAAAGUUCUAAUCGUUUCGACUGUGAAAAAGGGGUUAACAACGAAGAACUGCUAAUCGACGCAGCUGCGAAAGAGACCGUAGCGCGAGCAAUUAAUGCGACAAUAAAUAAGGCAAACGUUUGAAAGAGAAAAAUGUGCGGUCAGAAAAGAAGGAGAGAAGUCGAGGCGAGUGAAAGCAACGGAUAAACAAAGUUCCGCUGUACAUACUUCGAAGUAAUCAUUACAAUUGGAGAAGUUCUAAUCGUUUCGACUGUGAAAAAGGGGUUAACAACGAAGAACUGCUAAUCGACGCAGCUGCGAAAGAGAUCGUAGCGCGAGCGAUUAAUGCAACAAUAAAUAAGGCGAACGUUUGAAAGAGAAAAAUGUGCUGUCAGAAAAGAAGGAAAGAAGUCGAGGCGAGUGAAAGCAACGGACAAACCGUGACAUCAUAGAGUCCGACUUUCUUGUCUGAAAUGAACGUGUGACAGGGCUCGUAUGACGAAAGCAAGAGAAAACACCGCGCCUUCUGGCACGUUCCCGAUAGGGCCGUCUAAGCACGUGGGAAACUCGCUGGAUUAUUUCACUCUAAUAACACGUCGGGCAAACACAGCCGGCCACGGUUUUUACAUAAUUUCGUAUGCACCGUUCCAGUUUUCGCUCGACGACGCUUCGUCGAUCUAAAUCGGCGAGCGUGUCGCACGCCGACAAAUGGAAACAAAGCUUCCGCACUCGCGGAUAACAGACAUUACGUCAAACGUUUCGUAAUCUUUUCUAAUUUCCAUGCCCCAACGUUUCAUUAAUCUCUCGCAUCGAAUGAUUCGCACGAUCAAUCACACAUGUACGUACAUACUUUCGAAACAACAGCUGAGCGCUGUUAAAGCUAUCUAUUAGAUGAUUCAUCCUGUCCGUCGGCUUUCUGCGACGCGCCACCCGGAAUUCUUAAUUCCUUCGGAACAUUCUUGAUGAGAUCCGGUGAAAUGGGGUAUCUCGGUUUUCUAUGAACGAACUUUAUAUUCGUUAUGCGUACGAAAGAAUAAAGAACUCUGAAUCGUU